UACAGAGGUCCCGAGCGUUGUUCGGAUUCACUGGGCGUAAAGGGUGCGUAGGCGGGUUUUUAAGUCAGGGGUGAAAUCCUGGAGCUCAACUCCAGAACUGCCUUUGAUACUGAAGAUCUUGAGUUCGGGAGAGGUGAGUGGAACUGCGAGUGUAGAGGUGAAAUUCGUAGAUAUUCGCAAGAACACCAGUGGCGAAGGCGGCUCACUGGCCCGAUACUGACGCUGAGGCACGAAAGCGUGGGGAGCAAACAGG
Molecule: ribosomal RNA, 253 nt
Filed under: uncultured bacterium
Lineage: Bacteria
Description: partial 16S ribosomal RNA
Rfam family: Bacterial small subunit ribosomal RNA
Source: RNAcentral